This 156-nucleotide unclassified non-coding RNA is filed under the name uncultured Phomopsis. Its description in RNAcentral is "sequence contains ITS2". Lineage: Eukaryota; Fungi; Ascomycota; Sordariomycetes; Diaporthales; Cytosporaceae. The record is from RNAcentral.
CAACCCUCAAGCCUGGCUUGGUGAUGGGGCACUGCCUGUAAAAGGGCAGGCCCUGAAAUAUAGUGGCGAGCUCGCCAGGACCCCGAGCGCAGUAGUUAAACCCUCGCUUUGGAAGGCCCUGGCGGUGCCCUGCCGUUAAACCCCCAACUUUUGAAA